Molecule: ribosomal RNA, 2147 nt
Filed under: Vibrio sp. A8-1
Lineage: Bacteria; Pseudomonadati; Pseudomonadota; Gammaproteobacteria; Vibrionales; Vibrionaceae
Description: partial 23S ribosomal RNA
Rfam family: Bacterial large subunit ribosomal RNA
Source: RNAcentral
GUUGUAUGGUUAAGUGACUAAGCGUACACGGUGGAUGCCUAGGCAGUCAGAGGCGAUGAAGGACGUAUUAACUUGCGAUAAGCGUAGAUGAGGCAGUAAAAGCCACUUGAGUCUACGAUUUCCGAAUGGGGAAACCCAAGUGCAUAAGCACUUAUCGCUGCGUGAAUACAUAGCGCAGCGAGGCAAACCGGGGGAACUGAAACAUCUAAGUACCCCGAGGAGAAGAAAUCAACCGAGAUUCCGAAAGUAGCGGCGAGCGAAAUUGGAUUAGCCCUUAAGCUUUAUUGGUGUCAGGCGAAGUGCUCUGGAAAGGCACGCGAUACCGGGUGAUAGCCCCGUAGCCGUUAACGCCAGUAAAGUGAAAUCGAGUAGGGCGGGACACGUGAUAUCCUGUCUGAAUAUGGGGGGACCAUCCUCCAAGGCUAAAUACUCCUGACUGACCGAUAGUGAACCAGUACCGUGAGGGAAAGGCGAAAAGAACCCCUGUGAGGGGAGUGAAAUAGAACCUGAAACCGUGUACGUACAAGCAGUAGGAGCCUCUUUAAUGGGGUGACUGCGUACCUUUUGUAUAAUGGGUCAGCGACUUAUAUUCAGUGGCAAGGUUAACCAAAUAGGGGAGCCGUAGGGAAACCGAGUCUUAACUGGGCGUUCAGUCUCUGGAUAUAGACCCGAAACCGGGUGAUCUAGCCAUGGGCAGGUUGAAGGUUGAGUAACAUCAACUGGAGGACCGAACCGACUAAUGUUGAAAAAUUAGCGGAUGACUUGUGGCUAGGGGUGAAAGGCCAAUCAAACUCGGAGAUAGCUGGUUCUCCCCGAAAGCUAUUUAGGUAGCGCCUCGGACGAAUACUACUGGGGGUAGAGCACUGUUAAGGCUAGGGGGUCAUCCCGACUUACCAACCCUUUGCAAACUCCGAAUACCAGUAAGUACUAUCCGGGAGACACACGGCGGGUGCUAACGUCCGUCGUGAAGAGGGAAACAACCCAGACCGCCAGCUAAGGUCCCAAAGUAUUGCUAAGUGGGAAACGAUGUGGGAAGGCUUAGACAGCUAGGAUGUUGGCUUAGAAGCAGCCAUCAUUUAAAGAAAGCGUAAUAGCUCACUAGUCGAGUCGGCCUGCGCGGAAGAUGUAACGGGGCUAAGCAAUACACCGAAGCUGCGGCAAUGCGAUUUAUCGUAUUGGGUAGGGGAGCGUUCUGUAAGCCGUUGAAGGUGAACUGUAAGGUUUGCUGGAGGUAUCAGAAGUGCGAAUGCUGACAUGAGUAACGACAAGGGGGGUGAAAAACCUCCCCGCCGGAAGACCAAGGGUUCCUGUCCAACGUUAAUCGGGGCAGGGUAAGUCGACCCCUAAGGCGAGGCCGAAAGGCGUAGUCGAUGGGAAACGGGUUAAUAUUCCCGUACUUCUUAUGAAUGCGAUGGGGGGACGGAGAAGGCUAGGUGGGCCAGGCGACGGUUGUCCUGGUUCAAGUGCGUAGGCUAAGAGACUAGGUAAAUCCGGUUUCUUGUUAGGCUGAGACACGACGUCGAGCUACUACGGUAGUGAAGUCAUUGAUGCCCUGCUUCCAGGAAAAGCCUCUAAGCUUCAGUUCAUAAGAAAUCGUACCCCAAACCGACACAGGUGGUCGGGUAGAGAAUACCAAGGCGCUUGAGAGAACUCGGGUGAAGGAACUAGGCAAAAUGGUACCGUAACUUCGGGAGAAGGUACGCUCUUGACGGUGAAGUCCCUUGCGGAUGGAGCUAUUGAGAGUCGCAGAUACCAGGUGGCUGCAACUGUUUAUUAAAAACACAGCACUGUGCAAAAUCGCAAGAUGACGUAUACGGUGUGACGCCUGCCCGGUGCCGGAAGGUUAAUUGAUGGGGUUAGACGCAAGUCGAAGCUCUUGAUCGAAGCCCCGGUAAACGGCGGCCGUAACUAUAACGGUCCUAAGGUAGCGAAAUUCCUUGUCGGGUAAGUUCCGACCUGCACGAAUGGCGUAAUGAUGGCCACGCUGUCUCCACCCGAGACUCAGUGAAAUUGAAAUCGCUGUGAAGAUGCAGUGUACCCGCGGCUAGACGGAAAGACCCCGUGAACCUUUACUACAGCUUGGCACUGAACAUUGAACCUACAUGUGUAGGAUAGGUGGGAGACUUUGAAGCGCAGACGCUAGUUUG